Molecule: transfer RNA, 93 nt
Filed under: Gluconobacter japonicus
Lineage: Bacteria; Pseudomonadati; Pseudomonadota; Alphaproteobacteria; Acetobacterales; Acetobacteraceae
Description: tRNA-Gln
Source: RNAcentral
CUGUGGAUGGUGCGUUUGUGAGCGUACCUGGGGUUUUGGUUCUGGGAAAUGUUGUUGGAUAUGGGGAGUCUGUGCGGGUCAGUCGUCGGCAGA